Long non-coding RNA from Rhododendron vialii, 568 nucleotides. RefSeq lists it as uncharacterized. NCBI's taxonomy places the organism in Eukaryota, Viridiplantae, Streptophyta, Magnoliopsida, Ericales, Ericaceae. The transcript has 3 exons. The record is from RefSeq and is a predicted model, not a curated record.
AUGGAAAAUCCCUCCUUCACUUUCAGUCACUCUGUGAAAACGAGUUCGCUGUCCCGAAAAUGGCGAAUCUGAAUCAGAAACAAACAUUGAGUCGGCCAUGGUUCCUGGAAGUGAUACCUCUCUUGGUAGUCUUGCUAAUUGCAGCUCACGUCGCCGCCUUGGUUUAUUGGAUUUACAGAGUAGCUACUGAGAAACAACCUCAAAGAAGGAAAGAGCACUAAAAUUGAAGCACUUGAUUUUGCACUUGCAGCAGACAAGGGAAUAUUCAGUUGGGCAGUAGUUUUCCUCACGCACUUUGCAAGUUUCUUGGGCAAUGUUGUUUAGAAGGGAUCCCAGUUUUCUGUUCUUCAGCUUGUAAGUUCCUUAUGUUAAAUCUUUCCAAUUUGUUCUUUUCUGUUUGAUGGGUAGACACUAGCACUAGGUCCAAAGAUAAAAUGUGUAUCUGUUGUGUGUACGUGUGGGAAAGUUAUCCUCUGUGACAAACCUUUGUAACCUUAAUUUUCUUUUGGUACCGGUGAAAGGCAUAAUUGUUGUGGCUUCAAUAACAUGCUGCAGUCUGUUGUGGGAA